GAUGAACGCUGGCGGCGUGCCUAAUACAUGCAAGUCGAGCGAACGGACUAGAAGCUUGCUUCUCUGAUGUUAGCGGCGGACGGGUGAGUAACACGUGGAUAACCUACCUAUAAGACUGGGAUAACUUCGGGAAACCGUAGCUAAUACCGGAUAAUAUUUUGAACCGCAUGGUUCAAAAGUGAAAGACGGUCUUGCUGUCACUUAUAGAUGGAUCCGCGCUGCAUUAGCUAGUUGGUAAGGUAACGGCUUACCAAGGCAACGAUGCAUAGCCGACCUGAGAGGGUGAUCGGCCACACUGGAACUGAGACACGGUCCAGACUCCUACGGGAGGCAGCAGUAGGGAAUCUUCCGCAAUGGGCGAAAGCCUGACGGAGCAACACCGCGUGAGUGAUGAAGGUCUUCGGAUCGUAAAACUCUGUUAUUAGGGAAGAACAUAUGUGUAAGUAACUGUGCACAUCUUGACGGUACCUAAUCAGAAAGCCACGGCUAACUACGUG
RNAcentral lists this ribosomal RNA (497 nucleotides) under uncultured bacterium. RNAcentral's name for it is "partial 16S ribosomal RNA". It matches the Rfam family "Bacterial small subunit ribosomal RNA", at positions 28 to 507 of the family's 1533-position model. The record is from RNAcentral.